AAAAGGAAAAAAUGAAGGUUUUUGGGGUGUAGCGUGUGAGGGUGGUAUUUCUACACGUGUGUAUGUGUUCAGAAGUCAGAGGCACUGGAUCCUCCGGAGCUGGGAUUACUGGCUGUUCUGAGACACCUGACAUGGAUGCUGGGAACCUAACUCGGGUCUUCUGGUAGAGCAGCAAGUGGUCUUACUGGCUGAGCCACGUCUUCAGCUGCAAAGGGGAAAGGUUUUUUAGAGCGGUUCUCCAAAAAUCAGAAGCAUCAGUAAAACUCGGUGCUUCAUCUACAUGUACAUACGUCUAUGUAUCUUGUAUGCGUCUGCAAGAGGCCAGAGGAGGACAUCAGAUUCCCUGAGACUGGUAAUGUAGACAGAUGUUAGUCA
Molecule: long non-coding RNA, 375 nt
Organism: Rattus rattus (black rat)
Lineage: Eukaryota; Metazoa; Chordata; Mammalia; Rodentia; Muridae
Exons: 3
Source: RefSeq, a predicted model, not a curated record